RNAcentral lists this unclassified non-coding RNA (2180 nucleotides) under Limulus polyphemus (Atlantic horseshoe crab). Its description in RNAcentral is "uncharacterized LOC106465170, transcript variant X1". The record is from RNAcentral. Lineage: Eukaryota; Metazoa; Arthropoda; Merostomata; Xiphosura; Limulidae.
AGCUGUUCAGAACAGACGGAAUAGUUUUGGGAAUUUAGAAAUAUUUGUACUUGUAGAUUAUAACGUUUACCUGCAAAAGAAGGACUCCAAUGAAAAGAAAAUUUUAUGUUACAUAGAAGAAGAUAAGCUCCCCGGUGGUAUAGUGGUUGCAGGAGAAAGCUGCUGACUAACAUCAGAAAAAGAUAGUUGGAGUUUCUAGGACACAUUAUGAGGAAAGAAGAAAUUGGCAGUCUGAUCAUAACUGGAAAGAUUGAAGGAAGGAGAGACUGCGGAAGACAGAGGUUGACAUAAUUGUGUCAAGCAUCUAUCCAAAUGGAUGAAUGUAUUAUCACUGGAAAUUCUUUGUGCCUCAAGGAGAAGAGAUCUGUGAAUGAACAUCCUGUUCAGAUAUGGUACAUAGAGGGAAGGAGUUGUGGUCUAGGUGCUAUAUAUCAUCAGUUUUUGUGAACAACAACUUUUAUGGUGUGAACCAGAUUAAGCAAGUGAAUUCUGAUUAUUAUUUUUAUUUAAGUCAUUUAGAAAUCAAAUUUUUAGGUUAAGAAUUAAGAACACAACAUUGUUUGUUAUAUUUUAUUUGUCAGAACUAGUGGAAUUUUUGUAUUUUGUCUAAGGACUCAUGUAAUGUUUAAGUCUAAAACUAACAUGCUAAUUUUACUGGAUCUGUGUACUUAUACACGUAUAAUGGCUAUUUCAGUCUCAAAAUUAAUGUAUUAAUUUGAAAUUUUGUUGAGUAUCUGUAUUUUUUAAUAUUUGUGUGAUCAAAUCUCAAACUUGUACAGUGGUUUUGUAGAUUUCCAGUACUUGUAUAAGUAUUAGUUUAAUCUCAGAACUAGUGUAAUAGCUUUUCUGAGUGUCAUUAUUGUGUAUUGAUUUCUAUUACAUUAUUGUAAUAAUUUUGAAGAGUUUCAAUACUUGCAUAAUAAGCAGUUGAAUCUUUUAACUAGUUAAUUGUUUUUGUUGGUCUAAGUGCUUUAAUAUUUGUUUCAUACCUGGGGUAAAAUUUUUGUAAUAGUUUGGUUGGAUCUCAGUACAUUUGUAACAUUUGGAUGCCUUGUAUGUAGUUUGGGUGAGUCACAGAAAUUAUGUUAUAUUUUUUGAUAGGUCUCAAAAAUUUGAUAAAGUUUCAUUGACUCAGAACUAGAGCAUUGAUUUUGUUUCUUUUUAGUAUUUGCUUAAUGUGUGGUUGACUCUCAGAGCUUGGUAAUAGUUUUAGAGGGCUUCAGUACUUUUCAUUGUUCACCUGAGUCUCUGGUCUAGUGUAUUGGUUUUGAUAGGCCACUGUACUUGUGUAAAGUUUGGUUGAUUGUCAGAUUUAGUGUAUUAAUCAUUCUGUUAGUGUCUACUUGUUGAAUGUUUAGUUGUAGAAAUAUUGUAAUAGAGUUUCUGAGUCUCAGCUUUUGUGUAAUGUUUUGUUGUGUCUCAGAUCUCAUGCACUAAUUUUACCAGAUCUUAGUUGUUCAUUAAUAUUUUUUGGGUCUCUAUUGUAGUAUAUAUAUAUAUAUAUAUAUAUAUAGAUGAGUCACAAAGUAGUAUAAUGAUUUUGUAUGAUUUCCAUACGUGAUUAGUUUUGUUGACAUUCAGAACUAUUGUACAGGUUUUGCCAGUUCUUAGUAUUGUAAAAUCUUUGGUUGAAUCUUAAAGCCAGUAUAAAUGUUUUUCUAGGUCUCAGUAUUGGUGUAAUAAUUGGUUGAGUUUAUACAAUGUUUUGGGAUUACUUAAUUUCAUGACUUAUGUAAUGUUUUAUUUGAGUAUCAAAGCUAGUUCAAUGGUUUUGCUGUAUUCCAAUACUUGUUGUAAUAUUUGGUUUAAUUUCAGAACUAGUGUAAUGAUUUUGCACUUUUAUAAUGUUUAAGUCUUCAAGCCAGUGUAACUGUUUUUAAAGGUCUGACUACCUGAAUAAUGUUUGGUAAAGUUUCAGAAUUAAUGUAAUAGUUUUUCUAGGCCUUAGUAUUGUGUUAUUAUGUUUGAUUUUAUCUCAAAAUUAUUAUAAUGAUUUUGCUUAGUCUUAGUACUGGUGUAAUGUUUUUUUGAGCCUCAGAAAUAGUUUAAUGCAGAGUUUCUCAAAUUUGGGUCCAUGAGAGAAUUCCAGGAGUCCACAAUUCAUGUCUAAAAUUUCAUAAAAAUAAUUUAAAAAAUAAGAUUUAUAGAAUAAAAAAUAUUUUUCAUAAAAUUGAAUUUAU